AAAAAAUGCAAAUCCUGAAUUUUCGUGCCAACGUUUAACUGUCCGUCUUAUAUAAAAAUUUUUUAUAAUUUAUAUUUUCAUUGUUAUUAGAUAAUAAAACAUGAUUAAUAUUUUAUACGUAACUUAUCUUUUUAAUUUUUUAUAUAAUUAUUUUAAAUAAGACGGACGGUCAAACGUUGGACACGGAAACCAGGGUUUGUCUUUUU
This is a non-coding RNA of Oryza barthii, 206 nucleotides long. The record is from Rfam. NCBI's taxonomy places the organism in Eukaryota, Viridiplantae, Streptophyta, Magnoliopsida, Poales, Poaceae.